AACGAACGCUGGCGGCAUGCCUAACACAUGCAAGUCGAACGAGAUCUUCGGGUCUAGUGGCGCACGGGUGCGUAACGCGUGGGAAUCUGCCCUUUGGUUCGGAAUAACAGUUGGAAACGACUGCUAAUACCGGAUGAUGACGAAAGUCCAAAGAUUUAUCGCCAGAGGAUGAGCCCGCGUAGGAUUAGCUAGCUGGUGUGGUAAAGGCGCACCAAGGCGACGAUCCUUAGCUGGUCUGAGAGGAUGAUCAGCCACACUGGGACUGAGACACGGCCCAGACUCCUACGGGAGGCAGCAGUGGGGAAUAUUGGACAAUGGGUGAAAGCCUAAUCCAGCAAUGCCGCGUGAGUGAUGAAGGCCUUAGGGUUGUAAAGCUCUUUUACCCGGGAUGAUAAUGACAGUACCGGGAGAAUAAGCUCCGGCUAACUCCGUGCCAGCCGCCGCCGUAA
This 449-nucleotide ribosomal RNA is filed under the name uncultured bacterium. RNAcentral describes it as "partial 16S ribosomal RNA". It matches the Rfam family "Bacterial small subunit ribosomal RNA", at positions 29 to 523 of the family's 1533-position model. The record is from RNAcentral.